This is a long non-coding RNA of Suricata suricatta (meerkat), 676 nucleotides long. RefSeq lists it as uncharacterized. The record is from RefSeq and is a predicted model, not a curated record. The transcript has 3 exons. Lineage: Eukaryota; Metazoa; Chordata; Mammalia; Carnivora; Herpestidae.
UAAGGGAGCUUCUAAAGAGUUCACAAAAGUGUCCAUGAGAUAAAGAAUAAGCUUUAAACAUCUGCCAAAUCUAAAGAACAUGAAGAUAACUUAGAGCCAUACCACGAGGGGAAGGAAUUUCUGACCUCCUUUGACAGUUGGACCUUCUGAUGUUCUGACUCCAUGGAUUUCAGGAACAAAAGACUGGGGAAGAAGUACUGUACUCCCCCUUCUUGAUGCGAGAUGAUAAAAUGUCUACGUGAGGAGAUAAAGCAAGGCGAAUGACACAGGCCUUGUGACAUAACGUUAGGCUCUUACUGAACUGCUGACUGUAAAUCAGAAGAAGGAUCACCUGUUUCUGGAAUGCUGUUGACCUGAAACCGUGGAUGUCAAAACUGCAGAUUUUAUUUUUAAAGGAUCUCUAUACCCAACCUGGGGCUUGAACCCACAACCCUGAGAUCAAGAGUAGCAUGCUCCACCGACAGAGCCAGCUAGGUGCUCCAGUCAUCAAAUUUCUAGAGAAUGUUGGAAACCAGAAGGUACCAGAGAAACAGCUCCAGAACUUUUUGCAAAAAUGAUCUACAUCCAAACGUUUAUAUUACCUGAAAUGAAUAUCCAGUGUGAAGUGAGGAAUAAGAUCUUAGGAAUGUAUGCAAGAACUCAAAAGAAAAAUAAAAGGUCUUCCAUAGCCGUGCAA